RNAcentral lists this ribosomal RNA (569 nucleotides) under Hynobius leechii (Gensan salamander). Its description in RNAcentral is "partial 16S ribosomal RNA". It matches the Rfam family "Bacterial large subunit ribosomal RNA", at positions 1818 to 2602 of the family's 2925-position model. Lineage: Eukaryota; Metazoa; Chordata; Amphibia; Caudata; Hynobiidae. The record is from RNAcentral.
GCCUCUUGCAAUUAAGGUAUAAGAGGUCCUGCCUGCCCAGUGACAUUAAGUUUAACGGCCGCGGUAUUAUGACCGUGCAAAGGUAGCGUAAUCACUUGUCUUUUAAAUAAAGACCAGUAUGAAUGGCAAGACGAAAGUUCAACUGUCUCCCUAAAUUAAUCAGUGAAAUUGAUUUCUCCGUGCAGAAGCGGAGAUAAAAUUAUAAGACGAGAAGACCCUAUGGAGCUUUAAACAUAUAAUCAAUUGUAUUUCAUAAAAUCCGAAAGAUAAAGUAUAAAAUAAAACAAUAUGAUUAAAAUUUUAGGUUGGGGCGACCACGGAGAAAAACAAAACCUCCGAGAUGAAAAGAAUAUCUUAAUUUAAGAACCACAAUUCCAAAAAAUAAAAUAUUUAACAUAAUUGAUCCAAUAUUUUGAUCAACGAACCAAGUUACCCUAGGGAUAACAGCGCAAUCCUCUCCAAGAGUCCCUAUCGACGAGUGGGUUUACGACCUCGAUGUUGGAUCAGGACACCCCGAUGGUGCAGCCGCUAUUAAAGGUUCGUUUGUUCAACGAUUAAAGUCCUACGUG